AGGCAUGUAGCUCAGUUGGUAGAGCACCACCUCGACAAGGUGGGGGUCGCUGGUUCGAGCCCAGUCGUGCCUA
Molecule: transfer RNA, 73 nt
Filed under: Gammaproteobacteria bacterium RIFCSPHIGHO2_12_FULL_40_19
Lineage: Bacteria; Pseudomonadati; Pseudomonadota; Gammaproteobacteria
Description: tRNA-Val
Rfam family: tRNA
About the family: Transfer RNA (tRNA) molecules are approximately 80 nucleotides in length. Their secondary structure includes four short double-helical elements and three loops (D, anti-codon, and T loops).
Source: RNAcentral